RNAcentral lists this long non-coding RNA (1386 nucleotides) under Pongo abelii (Sumatran orangutan). Its description in RNAcentral is "lincRNA". The record is from RNAcentral. Lineage: Eukaryota; Metazoa; Chordata; Mammalia; Primates; Hominidae.
GUCAGUGCCGCUUCCCACUAGGCGCGUGGUACCCGAAGCCGGGCUGGAGCCGCAGGCCAGCCGCGAUUCCUGCGGGCGAUGCUGGGGGCUUUCCGGUGGGGGGCCGCAGCCGCUUCCGGAGCCGCGGGCGAGGUGCGUUCCCCAGCCUGAUUUGCUCUGGGCUCUGACCCGCCGCCGCGAAUCUCCGCUCGUAACUCCGGGCCUGAACCCGGAGGAGGGAGGAUUUCCUCUGUGCAGCUUUCAAGCGGUAGACUCACCCUGCCAGGCAGACCUAGAUUGGCAUAACCAGAGAUUAAUUCCAGUUGUGAUGCAGUGGGUGUUUACACACUUCUGAUGACACCUUUAUUUUAAAAGCAGAUGUUCCAAGGUGCAAGUGGUUCUUCUCUGUCUUCUUUCUAGCCAGUAAAAUUCUCCAGAAGAGGAGAUUUAUGGCAGCCUCACUCCCAGUAGUUUCUGCAUUUAGGGAGAUAAGAUGGAAUCUUGCUCUGUUGCUCAGGCUGGAGUGCAGUGGCGUGACCUUGGCUCACUGCAACCUCACCUCUCGGGUUCAAGCGAUUCUGCCUCAGCCUCUCGAGUAGCUGGGACUACAGGUGGGAGACCUCCACAGAACCCUUCCAGCGAGCUGUCUUCUAAAGCAAACAAGAAAAAGAAAGUCUGAGCAGUUUUGAAUAGAUUUCCCAGAAGUCGAAGAGAGGAAAAAUGAAAAAGCUUCAUUUCUCACGUUCUUAAAAGAGAGCACAGAUGUUGCAUCAUCUGGUUAGAUAUCCUGAGAAUAAAAUCUGGAUCCAGUGAGAGAAAAGAUUCUGGGUGUUCAUGAAAAAAGAAACAAAACAAAACUUGGGAGCCUCUUGAGAGUGUACAGAAUCAGCCCUUGCCAACUCUUGUUUAUAUGCAUUGAACUUUCAGUUAACCAUGGGAAUAAUUCAUGAAAAUCCAGUCUACAAACAAAGGCCAUCCCAACGUUCAUGUUAUUCUUUUCCCUAAGAAUCUUUCACAAGAGCUAUUAUCAAGUAGAAUUAUGCUUUGAUUUGAAUUUUAAUUCAAUUGAAAAUAAAAAAUGAGGGCCAGACGCAGUGGCUCAUGCCUGUAAUCCCAGCACUUUGGGAGGCCGAGGCGGACGGAUCACGAGGUCAGGAGAUCGAGACCAUCCUGGCUAACAUGGUGAAACCCUGUCCCUACUAAAAAUACAAAAAAAUUAGCCGGGCGUGGUGGCAGGCACCUGUAGUCCCAGCUACUCGGGAGGCUGAGGCAGGAGAAUGGCGUGAACCCAGGAGGCAGAGGUUGCAGUGAGCCGAGAUCAUGCUACUGCACUCCAGCCUGGGCGACAGAGCGAGACUCUGUCUAUAAAUAAAUAAAUAAAUAAAUAAAUAACGAAAAGGUUGCCAU